This 305-nucleotide ribosomal RNA is filed under the name uncultured bacterium. Its description in RNAcentral is "bacterial SSU rRNA". It matches the Rfam family "Bacterial small subunit ribosomal RNA", at positions 333 to 654 of the family's 1533-position model. The record is from RNAcentral.
GUUGACCUACGGGACGCAGCAGUGGGGAAUAUUGCACAAUGGGGGAAACCCUGAUGCAGCAACGCCGCGUGAGUGAAGAAGGUUUUCGGAUUGUAAAGCUCUGUUAGCAGGGAAGAGGAAGGACGGUACCUGCAGAGGAAGCCACGGCUAACUACGUGCCAGCAGCCGCGGUAAUACGUAGGGGGCAAGCGUUAUCCGGAUUUACUGGGUGUAAAGGGAGCGUAGACGGCAGCGCAAGUCUGGAGUGAAAUGCCGGGGCUCAACCCCGGAACUGCUUUGGAAACUGUGCAGCUAGAGUGCGGGAG